CACGUAGGGUGCGAGCGUUGUCCGGAAUUAUUGGGCGUAAAGAGCUCGUAGGCGGUGUGUCGCGUCGGCCGUGAAAACUUGGGGCUUAACUCUGAGCGUGCGGUCGAUACGGGCAUCACUUGAGUUCGGCAGGGGAGACUGGAAUUCCUGGUGUAGCGGUGAAAUGCGCAGAUAUCAGGAGGAACACCGGUGGCGAAGGCGGGUCUCUGGGCCGAUACUGACGCUGAGGAGCGAAAGCAUGGGUAGCGAACAGG
RNAcentral lists this ribosomal RNA (254 nucleotides) under uncultured bacterium. RNAcentral's name for it is "partial 16S ribosomal RNA". It matches the Rfam family "Bacterial small subunit ribosomal RNA", at positions 524 to 776 of the family's 1533-position model. The record is from RNAcentral.